Molecule: ribosomal RNA, 253 nt
Filed under: uncultured bacterium
Lineage: Bacteria
Description: partial 16S ribosomal RNA
Rfam family: Bacterial small subunit ribosomal RNA
Source: RNAcentral
UACGUAGGGUGCAAGCGUUAAUCGGAAUUACUGGGCGUAAAGCGUGCGCAGGCGGUUUUGUAAGUCUGUCGUGAAAUCCCCGGGCUCAACCUGGGAGUGGCGAUGGAGACUGCAAGGCUGGAAUCUGGCAGAGGGGGGUAGAAUUCCACGUGUAGCAGUGAAAUGCGUAGAGAUGUGGAGGAACACCGAUGGCGAAGGCAGCCCCCUGGGCUAAGAUUGACGCUCAUGCACGAAAGCGUGGGGAGCAAACAGG